AAGUUUGAUUAUGGCGUCAGGAUGAACGCUGGCGGCGUGCUUAACACAUGCAAGGUCGACGAAGCUCUUUGAUCGGAGGAUACGUCCAAAGUGAUGAGAUGACUUAGUGGCGGACGGGUGAGUAACGCGUGGGUAACCUGCCGUAUGCAGGGGGACAACAGUUGGAAACGACUGCUAAUACCGCAUAAGCGCACGGGAUUGCAUGAUCCAGUGUGAAAAAGAUUUAUCGGCAUACGAUGGACCCGCGUCUGAUUAGCUAGUUGGUGAGGUAACGGCCCACCAAGGCGACGAUCAGUAGCCGGCCUGAGAGGGUGAACGGCCACAUUGGGACUGAGACACGGCCCAAACUCCUACGGGAGGCAGCAGUGGGGAAUAUUGCACAAUGGGGGAAACCCUGAUGCCAGCGACGCCGCGUGAGUGAAGAAGUAUUUCGGUAUGUAAAGCUCUAUCAGCAGGGAAGAAAAUGACGGUACCUGACUAAGAAGCCCCGGCUAACUACGUGCCAGCAGCGGC
Molecule: ribosomal RNA, 513 nt
Filed under: uncultured bacterium
Lineage: Bacteria
Description: bacterial SSU rRNA
Rfam family: Bacterial small subunit ribosomal RNA
Source: RNAcentral